This 465-nucleotide ribosomal RNA is filed under the name uncultured bacterium. RNAcentral describes it as "partial 16S ribosomal RNA". It matches the Rfam family "Bacterial small subunit ribosomal RNA", at positions 28 to 507 of the family's 1533-position model. The record is from RNAcentral.
GACGAACGCUGGCGGCGUGCUUAACACAUGCAAGUCGAACGGAAAGGCCCUGCUUGCAGGGUACUCGAGUGGCGAACGGGUGAGUAACACGUGGGUGAUCUGCCCUGCACUUCGGGAUAAGCCUGGGAAACUGGGUCUAAUACCGGAUAGGUGCCAUUUUUAGUGUGAUGGUUGGAAAGUUUUUUCGGUGUAGGAUGAGCUCGCGGCCUAUCAGCUUGUUGGUGGGGUAAUGGCCUACCAAGGCGGCGACGGGUAGCCGGCCUGAGAGGGUGGACGGCCACAAUGGGACUGAGGUAAGGCCCAAGCUCCCACGGGGGGGAACCGGGGGGAAUAUUGCACAAUGGGCGCAAGGCUGGUGCAGCGACGCCGCGGGGGGGAUGACGGCCUUCGGGUUGGAAACUCCUUUCGCUAGGGACGAAGCUGUUUGUGACGGUACCUAGAGAAGAAGCACCGGCUAACUACGUG